CAGUCGAGGGGUAUUGGUUUUCGGACCAGAGACCGGCGCACGGGUGCGUAACGCGUAUGCAAUCUACCUUUUACAGAGGGAUAGCCCAGAGAAAUUUGGAUUAAUACCUCAUAGUAUUACGACUCGGCAUCGAGAUAUAAUUAAAGUCACAACGGUAAAAGAUGAGCAUGCGUCCCAUUAGCUUGUUGGUAAGGUAACGGCUUACCAAGGCAGCGAUGGGUAGGGGUCCUGAGAGGGAGAUCCCCCACACUGGUACUGAGACACGGACCAGACUCCUACGGGAGGCAGCAGUGAGGAAUAUUGGUCAAUGGGCGCAAGCCUGAACCAGCCAUGCCGCGUGCAGGAUGAAGCAUCUAUGGUGUGUAAACUGCUUUUGUACGAGAAGAAACACUCCUUCGUGAAGGAGCUUGACGGUAUCGUAAGAAUAAGGACCGGCUAACUCCGUGCCAGCAGCCGCGGUAAUACGGAGGGUCCAAGCGUUAUCCGGAAUCAUUGGGUUUAAAGGGUCCGUAGGCGGUUUUGUAAGUCAGUGGUGAAAGCCCAUCGCUCAACGGUGGAACGGCCAUUGAUACUGCAAGACUUGAAUUAUUGGGAAGUAACUAGAAUAUGUAGUGUAGCGGUGAAAUGCUUAGAGAUUACAUGGAAUACCAAUUGCGAAGGCAGGUUACUACCAAUAUAUUGACGCUGAUGGACGAAAGCGUGGGGAGCGAACAGGAUUAGAUACCCUGGUAGUCCACGCCGUANACGAUGGAUACUAGCUGUUCGGAGCAAUCUGAGUGGCUAAGCGAAAGUGAUAAGUAUCCCACCUGGGGAGUACGUUCGCAAGAAUGAAACUCAAAGGAAUUGACGGGGGCCCGCACAAGCGGUGGAGCAUGUGGUUU
RNAcentral lists this ribosomal RNA (881 nucleotides) under uncultured bacterium. RNAcentral's name for it is "bacterial SSU rRNA". It matches the Rfam family "Bacterial small subunit ribosomal RNA", at positions 59 to 947 of the family's 1533-position model. The record is from RNAcentral.